RNAcentral lists this ribosomal RNA (528 nucleotides) under uncultured bacterium. RNAcentral describes it as "bacterial SSU rRNA". It matches the Rfam family "Bacterial small subunit ribosomal RNA", at positions 355 to 896 of the family's 1533-position model. The record is from RNAcentral.
UGGGGAAUCUUGCACANAUGGGGCGAAAGCCUGAUGCAGCGACGCCGCGUGCGGGACGAAGGCCUUCGGGUUGUAAACCGCUUUCAGCAGGGACGAGGCGUAAGUGACGGUACCUGCAGAAGAAGCCCCGGCUAACUACGUGCCAGCAGCCGCGGUAAUACGUAGGGGGCAAGCGUUAUCCGGAUUCAUUGGGCGUAAAGCGCUCGUAGGCGGUCUGUUAGGUCGGGAGUUAAAUCCGGAGGCUCAACCUCCGUCCGCUCCCGAUACCGGCAGACUUGAGUUUGGUAGGGGAAGGUGGAAUUCCUAGUGUAGCGGUGGAAUGCGCAGAUAUUAGGAAGAACACCAGUGGCGAAGGCGGCCUUCUGGGCCAUANCUGACGCUGAGGAGCGAAAGCUAGGGGAGCAAACAGGAUUAGAUACCCUGGUAGUCCUAGCUGUAAACGAUGGACACUAGGUGUGGGGGAGCCUUUCCUCCGUGCCGCAGCUAACGCAUUAAGUGUCCCGCCUGGGGAGUACGGCCGCAAGGCUA